RNAcentral lists this ribosomal RNA (276 nucleotides) under uncultured bacterium. Its description in RNAcentral is "partial 16S ribosomal RNA". It matches the Rfam family "Bacterial small subunit ribosomal RNA", at positions 105 to 381 of the family's 1533-position model. The record is from RNAcentral.
GGUGUGUAACGCGUAUGCAACCUGCCUUUAUCAGGGGGAUAGCCUCUCGAAAGAGAGAUUAAUACCGCAUAAAAACACAGUACGGCAUGGUACAAUGUUCAAACAUUUAUGGGAUAAAGAUGGGCAUGCGUGACAUUAGCUAGUUGGUGAGGUAACGGCUCACCAAGGCACCGAUGUCUAGGGGAUCUGAGAGGAUGACCCCCCACACUGGGACUGAGACACGGACCAGACUCCUACGGGAGGCAGCAGUAAGGAAUAUUGGUCAAUGGACGCAAG